CAGUCGCCACGGUAAUACGUAGGAGGCAAGCGUUGUCCGGAAUUAUUGGGCGUAAAGGGCUCGCAGGCGGUUUCUUAAGUCUGAUGUGAAAGCCCCCGGCUCAACCGGGGAGGGUCAUUGGAAACUGGGAAACUUGAGUGCAGAAGAGGAGAGUGGAAUUCCACGUGUAGCGGUGAAAUGCGUAGAGAUGUGGAGGAACACCAGUGGCGAAGGCGACUCUCUGGUCUGUAACUGACGCUGAGGAGCGAAAGCGUGGGGAGCGAACAGGAUUAGAUACCCCCGUAGUCCCUGUCUCUUAUAC
This 301-nucleotide ribosomal RNA is filed under the name uncultured bacterium. RNAcentral describes it as "partial 16S ribosomal RNA". It matches the Rfam family "Bacterial small subunit ribosomal RNA", at positions 509 to 807 of the family's 1533-position model. The record is from RNAcentral.